CCUGGCUCAGGAUGAACGCUAGCGGCAGGCUUAACACAUGCAAGUCGAGGGGCAGCGUAGAUUGCUUGCAAUCUGACGGCGGCCGGCGAACGGGUGCGUAACGCGUAUAGAACCUACCUUUUACAGAGGGAUACCCCAGAGAAAUUUGGAUUAAUAUCUCAUAGUAUUAUAGAUCGGCAUCGAUUUAUAAUUAAAGAUUUAUCGGUAAAAGAUGGCUAUGCGUCCUAUUAGCUAGAUGGUAAGGUAACGGCUUACCAUGGCAAUGAUAGGUAGGGGUCCUGAGAGGGAGAUCCCCCACACUGGUACUGAGACACGGACCAGACUCCUACGGGAGGCAGCAGUGAGGAAUAUUGGUCAAUGGAGGCAACUCUGAACCAGCCAUGCCGCGUGCAGGAAGACUGCCCUAUGGGUUGUAAACUGCUUUUAUACAGGAAGAAACACUCCCUCGUGAGGGAGCUUGACGGUACUGUAAGAAUAAGGACCGGCUAACUCCGUGCCAGCAGCCGCGGUAAUACGGAGGGUCCAAGCGUUAUCCGGAAUCAUUGGGUUUAAAGGGUCCGCAGGCGGGCAAUUAAGUCAGAG
Molecule: ribosomal RNA, 582 nt
Filed under: uncultured Polaribacter sp.
Lineage: Bacteria; Pseudomonadati; Bacteroidota; Flavobacteriia; Flavobacteriales; Flavobacteriaceae
Description: bacterial SSU rRNA
Rfam family: Bacterial small subunit ribosomal RNA
Source: RNAcentral